Molecule: unclassified non-coding RNA, 406 nt
Filed under: fungal sp.
Lineage: Eukaryota; Fungi
Description: partial internal transcribed spacer region
Rfam family: Eukaryotic small subunit ribosomal RNA (bases 1-46)
Source: RNAcentral
AAGUCGUAACAAGGUUUCCGUAGGUGAACCUGCGGAAGGAUCAUUAACACGUAUCCACGUUUAUUAACCAACUUACAUACUCUGAACUUGUGCUCCCUGAGAAGUUGACUUCGAUGCUGUCUGUUGAGGCUGUAGUGGGUUGUUGAGCGAAAGCACUUCAACACGUUUUGAUCAGACUACCAAUCCUUUGAGAUUGAAGCUAGAGACUUACUAAUCAGGCUUAAUCCUUUCACGUAAUCUUCCAACCACUUUCGAACAUACGUGAGAGACCCAUACCAACCUAUUUCACCAUAUUUUACCUAUUAUGGCUAAUUGUAUUCUGUCCCAUGGUUAACUCCAUGCAUACUGAAUAUUUAAGAUUUAUCUUAACUAAGCACAACUCUUAGCAAUGGAUAUCUUGGUUCUC